RNAcentral lists this transfer RNA (73 nucleotides) under Marmota monax (woodchuck). RNAcentral describes it as "tRNA.Ala". The record is from RNAcentral. Lineage: Eukaryota; Metazoa; Chordata; Mammalia; Rodentia; Sciuridae.
UGAGAAUAUAGCUCAGUGGCAGAGCUCUUGCCUAGCGUGCACGAAGCCCUGGGUUCCAUCCCCAGCACCACAA